CACACACUAUUCUCGAUGGGGAGACUCCAGGAUGCAGGUUGUCCUCGACUUACAACAGUUCAUUUAGUGAUUGUUCAAAGUUACAACGACCCUGAAAAAAAGCGACUUAGGAACCAUGCUUGGCAACUGAGUCACAUUUAUGACGGCUGCAGUGUCCCGGGAUCAGGUGAUCACCUUUUGAGGCCACCUGAGAAACAGAGUCAAGGAGGAAGACGGAUUCCCUUAACAAGCAUUCAUUCACUUAGCAAUUGUGGCAAGAAAAAUGAAAAGGGAGGCAUAGUUCACUUAACAAAUGUCUUAUUUAGACAUAGAAAUUUUGGGCUUGAUUGUGGUUGUAAGUCGGGGAUUACCUAUAUUCUCAUAAGAAUCCACUUCCUAACAUUUUCUUUAAAUUACUUAGUUUGCAGUUAAGUUUCCCAUUUUCUGUCUUUGUCACCCUGGCUACCCUCUAUCCAGACCACUAACUUCCAAAACACAUGCCAGUAGCCACCAUCAGCCAGUAAGAUUCAGAGGAAAAGUAUGCAGCUAAAACAGGAACUUUGCUAGCAGAAAAGAAGAAUUCGGAGCAUUUUUGAUGUACAUAUUUUAUUUGGCCUUAAAAAAAUAUUCCUCCAUAUUAGUGCCUUCAAAACAUUGGGUUCCUCUUUCUGUCAUCAUGCAAAGAAACCCCUUUGCCCUUACCAAAUAUACUUGCUGUUUUCCAUCAUGAAUAUGUAAUAUUUGUUUUGGGAAAGGUGGAUGUUUACAGUAGAGCCAAUGGCUGCUUGCAUUUUCCAUCGGAUGAAUGGGGACUGCACAGAAGCAGCGCUAGAUGGAUGGCUUGCUUUGCACCACCAUGGAGGGUUUAUUCUCCAUGGUUGCUCGGGGAGAAAUUAACUGUACAGUAAUGGAUUCAUGUCUGCCAGUAAAUCUGCAAUAGAAAUCCAUCCAUAUCCUGCAAAAUGAUUUAUGCAGGAUUUGUUGAGGCUUGCAGUAACUUUCCUUCAAAAAGGGCAGCUCUCUCUCUCUUUUUCUUCAAAAGUCAACAAAACACAUUGGGGAGGUUACAAGGAACAUUCUGAUAUGGGGAAAUGGAAAGACACUUAUUUGUGAUUGCACCAGGCUGAAAGAUAACAACUGCAGUGGAGCAACAUUUAAGUAAGAGUUACAAAUUCUUGCCUUCAAGUUUCUUAACAAAUAGAUUGUUUUACAGAAAGAUAGUGUAAAUUGUUUUUCUUUACAUUUUGAUGUUUUUUUUAAAAGUGUAUAAGACAUCCUCUGUUUUUUAAAUAAAACAUGGUAGAAAAAGACAUGCUUUGCAAAGUAUUAAAUGCAUAACUUUUGGUUUCUUUAUGGUUGUUAAUGUAGUUUUUUUUUAAUAUUCCAGGCACUUGGUAUUAGAUAAUACUGUUUUUCAACUUUGUAUUUCAGAAAACAUAAGUCUUUCCCCAUUAGCUCAGCAAUAGAAGUUAUUUGUAUGUGUUUCUACUGCAUUUACCAAAAUACUUAUAACAUUAUGCAGCGUAGGUAGAAAUAUAAGCUUCCUUCUUGUCUCAAUUAUCCACAACUUCAUCUACAACGUUUUUAUUAUUUUUUGAAAUAUGCAAAUCAAUGUAUGUGUACAAAAUAAAGGAGCAAUGAUACAA
This is a non-coding RNA of Notechis scutatus (mainland tiger snake), 1625 nucleotides long. Lineage: Eukaryota; Metazoa; Chordata; Lepidosauria; Squamata; Elapidae. The record is from RefSeq and is a predicted model, not a curated record.